RNAcentral lists this ribosomal RNA (160 nucleotides) under Schizosaccharomyces pombe (fission yeast). RNAcentral's name for it is "partial ribosomal RNA". It matches the Rfam family "Eukaryotic large subunit ribosomal RNA", at positions 661 to 814 of the family's 3401-position model. The record is from RNAcentral. Lineage: Eukaryota; Fungi; Ascomycota; Schizosaccharomycetes; Schizosaccharomycetales; Schizosaccharomycetaceae.
ACGGACCAAGGAGUCUAGCAUCUAUGCGAGUGUUUGGGUGAUGAAAACCCAUCCGCGAAAUGAAAGUGAAUGCAGGUGGGAACGCCCUUGUGGCGUGCACCAUCGACCGACCCGGAAGUUUGUCAAUGGAAGGGUUUGAGUAAGAGCAUAGCUGUUGGGA